Long non-coding RNA from Micropterus salmoides (largemouth bass), 182 nucleotides. RefSeq lists it as uncharacterized. The transcript is spliced from 4 exons. The record is from RefSeq and is a predicted model, not a curated record. Lineage: Eukaryota; Metazoa; Chordata; Actinopteri; Centrarchiformes; Centrarchidae.
CUCACACCUGGACAGACCUAAUACAGAGCCUUCAGCAGCUAAGUUUUGUCAACUGAACACACAAAGAGACGAGGCAUCAUGUCUUCUAAAGAUUGUCCAUUCCCUGUCUAUCCCCAGGUGCAGACAUUGACUUUGAUGCAGACUUUGUAUAUGACUACCAUAAACUACGUGUUGGAGGUCUG